Molecule: transfer RNA, 76 nt
Filed under: Candidatus Bathyarchaeota archaeon
Lineage: Archaea; Thermoproteati; Candidatus Bathyarchaeota
Also listed under: 1 other name
Description: tRNA-Pro
Rfam family: tRNA
About the family: Transfer RNA (tRNA) molecules are approximately 80 nucleotides in length. Their secondary structure includes four short double-helical elements and three loops (D, anti-codon, and T loops). Further hydrogen bonds mediate the characteristic L-shaped molecular structure. tRNAs have two regions of fundamental functional importance: the anti-codon, which is responsible for specific mRNA codon recognition, and the 3' end, to which the tRNAs corresponding amino acid is attached (by aminoacyl-tRNA synthetases). tRNAs cope with the degeneracy of the genetic code in two manners: having more than one tRNA (with a specific anti-codon) for a particular amino acid; and 'wobble' base-pairing, i.e. permitting non-standard base-pairing at the 3rd anti-codon position.
Source: RNAcentral
GGGGCGGUGGUCCAGCUUGGUCUAAGAUACCGGUCUCGGGAGCCGGUGAUCGCGGGUUCAAAUCCCGCCCGCCCCA